ACGCUGUGUGGCUUCCUCUCUGGGUAGGAAGGCAAGGUGUCUUCUACAUUUUUGCAUUUUUCCAGGCUGCCACCCAUACCCCAGGCCACACAGAGUAAGGGAAGACAAGGUCUGAGAAGGAUUACCAGGAGAGAGAUGAGUUAAUAUCUCAAAAAUGUUACUCUUCCACAUUGAUGAGCUUCCCAGGUGGCGCUAGUGGAAAAGAACCCACCUGCCAAUGAAGGAGACGUAAGAGACGCAGGUUUGAUCCCUGGGUCAGGAAGAUCCCCUGGGGAAGGGCAUUGCAACCCACUCCAGUAUUCUUGCCUGGAGAAUUCCCUGGACAGAGGAGCCUGGCAGGCUGUAGUGCAUAAGGUUGCACAGAGUCGGACACGACUGAAGCGACUUAGCAUGCAUGCACGACAUUGAGGUGUUCUUAGUUUUUAUCCCUAAACAAAGUUCCAAGUUCACUUUAAGAACCGUCUUUUAUCUUCUGGUUUCAUUUGCGGCCCCUGUGUGGCUCCACUGCCCGCUCUGCCAAAGGUCUGCUCCCAGCUUUACCGCUGCUCCUCUGACCCCAUCCCUCAGUCCCUAACGGAAAAUCUCAGCCCUUCUCUGAGGCAGUGACGAGGUGGAUAUGAUGUAGCUUGUUGGGAAAACCACAGAAUCUGUGCUCAGCUGAUCCUUUACCAGCCCCGACGCCGCCACGCAUCUCUGCGUCAAUCAACCACCCCAUACCUCCCAGGUUGCUGCCCCUGGGGAACAUCACUGGGUAACUCGCUCAUACCUCCCGCGAAGGGAUUUGUUAGACUCUGGAACACCAAAGAUGAAAGGCACAGGCAGGCCUGCCCUCAAGGAGCUUCAGCCACAGGAGGAAAGGGAACAAAACGUGAGAUUCAAGAGCUGUUCCCAAGUGACGCGCAUCCAUUCACCAAGUUAAUGCUUAAUAAGAACGAUCUACAAAGGGUGACCGAAAGAUGAGGAGAGUGAAGACUGCCUCCAGUGAGCAUGAACGAGCGAAAUAAAUAAAUAGAUGCCAUGCUGAUCCCAAAAGAAGGAAGGUGCAGGAAGGGGAACUUGCACAGCAAUUCUGGGGAGCAGGAACCCUAGCCCACCUUCGUCCUCCGCAUCUCCCCUGGGGCUUCAGGAGACUUGUCACCACAGUUCACACCAGCUUCCUCCUGCCCCAGCUCUCCCACCGCAUCUCCAGUCUCUGAACCUGCAGAGCUGCUGAUGCUGCUGGGGCCUGACGUCGCCCUGCAGCUGGAGGCCGCCCUGGCUGACCCUCAGCUGCCCUGUCCCUGUCUCACUCCAGAGACGGGCCUCGGGGGCAAUCUUGUCUUUAACACGUGGCCUCCUCUGUUCCAGGGGUCACGGAAGACCGCCCAGAGCUCACCACGUCUCACGGAGAUUUUAAUGAAACAGCUCUUCUAUUUAUUUGUGUUGCUGCCUCCAAGGCCUGGGGCCAUGACAUCAGUCCCUGAGAGGGGAGGCCCGGGCUCAGGGGACAUCAGGCUUUCUGUCCAGUUGCUUAGGUUCUGACACUAACCCGGCUUUUCUGCUUCAGUCCUACACUCUUCCCUCUGUUUUUUUCUCGGGCGUGUCUGAAUCCUGGGGUGAAUACCGUUUACCUUGCACCCUGUGGCACUUGUUAAAAGUAAACAGGUUUUCCCUGAGCGUUGGCAGUUCCACCAGAAGGAGAACAAAGGUCAAUGCAGUCAUACGGAAUCUGAUUAACACCAAGCCGCAGAAACACACCCCUGGAUUAGAUGCUUUCCCAGCUGCCCCUGCCCUUUGGACAGAGGAGCCGUUCUAGCUGGUGUGCAGGCAGCAGCUAUGCUUAGCUCGCUGAGUGGGAAUGUGUUAAUCCACAUUUCAAGUUAGGUUUGCCUAUUGUUAUUUUUUAAUUAUAUGUACUUUAAGAGUGAUGUUAUCAUUUGAAUUUUAAAAAAUGUAUAGAAAAAAGUUUUAUUACAUUGGAGUAAAAGAAAAAAGAAAUUUUAAUCAGGUUUACAGAGGUAUAAUUUACAUUCAAUGAAUUCCACCCUCUUUAGUGGAC
Molecule: long non-coding RNA, 2038 nt
Organism: Bos taurus (domestic cattle)
Lineage: Eukaryota; Metazoa; Chordata; Mammalia; Artiodactyla; Bovidae
Source: Ensembl